ACUGAAGGCUUAAUUCAGCUACCUUAUCUCUCUAGGUAUGUGGAGACCAGAGCCAAGGGGCUGUUUUCCUGCGGGAAUUUACACUGAUUCGAAGAGAGAGCCUUAAUGAAGAUUUCCUGUCUGACCUCUUGAAUAGUCACAAAACCGAAGAUCCGGCCCUUUUCGAUUCUUCAGCCUCAAUCUUCUCCAUUCCUUUGCACCCCGAAUCUGAUGCUGUCUUAAGAACAUUUGGCACCCAUCAUCUUCGAGUCCUCCAGGUGAAUACCAGCUGCAGACCAAUCCCAAUGCCUCAGGAGCUGUGACAAAGCAGAGGGAGAGGAAUUGAUCUUUCCCUCCACCCUUGAAAGAACCCUUAUCUGGAAACAGCCACUGAACUCUAAUAGGACUUGAAGAAAAGCCCAUGUGGGCAGCACGUGGCUCGUCCAGCCCAACUCCUUUGUCCCCCACGGUGUGCAAGAAUAUUCAAAAAUUCACUGGGUCUUCCCUUGUUUUCUCUAGAUCAUCCAGUUCUCUUCCUGGCUGAAAUCAUGCAAAGGGAAUGCACUUGAGUGGGUGGAAAUAACCUGGGGAGAAAAGAUAAUGUUCUUAUGUUUGACUUAAAUAAUGAAAUACUCCUUGAGCUUGAAGUGGAUAAACUCAUUUUAGAACUUGACCCUCAGUCUACCCCUUGACCUAACUCAAUUAGACUUUGUUCAUAUAAGUGGUUCUAAUUCAAACAUAAUAGAGACAGAAUUUCAGCUCAUCAAGAGAUUGUUAUUUGAUUUUUCCAUUCUCCUUUUCC
RNAcentral lists this long non-coding RNA (781 nucleotides) under Ictidomys tridecemlineatus (thirteen-lined ground squirrel). RNAcentral describes it as "lncRNA (ENSSTOG00000032552.1)". Lineage: Eukaryota; Metazoa; Chordata; Mammalia; Rodentia; Sciuridae. The record is from RNAcentral.